AUUGUCGGAGGUAAUCUUGAGGUUCUGGAACCCAAAUGAUGUGGCCUUAAUAUACAAUAUGAUUGGUUAUACAAGUUUUUAUAAAGUAAAAAUUUACUUAAAAAUAUGAAAUGUUUUCAUAUUUAAGAACGGAGAGAAAAUUAUAUUUCAUUCAUAUAGAUUUUUCCAAUUAUUAAGAAAAUGAAAAAAUCUAUAUUAUAAUGAUUGAGUUUUUGCUCUCUCUUUAGGGUGUCCAUCUCAGCAUUUCAUUUAUUUUGGUGGGACUCAUCUUUAUUUUUUGUUUUAAUGUAUUAUCUAUUCGUAAAAACUUACAAU
Molecule: long non-coding RNA, 315 nt
Filed under: Brassica napus (rape)
Lineage: Eukaryota; Viridiplantae; Streptophyta; Magnoliopsida; Brassicales; Brassicaceae
Description: long non-coding RNA (BNAP_LNC024871)
Source: RNAcentral